This 253-nucleotide ribosomal RNA is filed under the name Musca sorbens. RNAcentral describes it as "partial 16S ribosomal RNA". The record is from RNAcentral. Lineage: Eukaryota; Metazoa; Arthropoda; Insecta; Diptera; Muscidae.
UCUGGUAUGAAAAGUUUGACGAGAUAUUAACUGUUUCAUAAAAAUUUAUAAUAGAAUUUUAUUUUUUAGUCAAAAAGCUAAAAUAAAUUUAAAAGACGAGAAGACCCUAUAAAUCUUUAUAUUUAGGUAAUUAUAAUUUUCAGGAUUUUUUUUGUUAUGAUUGCUAAUAAUAUUUUAUUGGGGUGAUAUUAAAAUUUAAAAAACUUUUAAUUAAUAAAAUCAUUAAUUAAUGAAUAAUGAUCCGUAUNNNCGA